RNAcentral lists this transfer RNA (73 nucleotides) under Erysipelatoclostridium sp. An173. It matches the Rfam family "tRNA". Rfam says of the family: Transfer RNA (tRNA) molecules are approximately 80 nucleotides in length. Their secondary structure includes four short double-helical elements and three loops (D, anti-codon, and T loops). The record is from Rfam by way of RNAcentral. Lineage: Bacteria; Bacillati; Bacillota; Erysipelotrichia; Erysipelotrichales; Coprobacillaceae.
GCCGUAUUAGCUCAAUGGAUAGAGCAAUUCUUUACCAAAGAAUAGGUUGUGGGUUCGAAUCCCACAUACGAAA